AGUGAACGCUGGCGGUAGGCCUAACACAUGCAAGUCGAACGGCAGCACAGUAAGAGCUUGCUCUUACGGGUGGCGAGUGGCGGACGGGUGAGGAAUACAUCGGAAUCUACUUUUUCGUGGGGGAUAACGUAGGGAAACUUACGCUAAUACCGCAUACGACCUACGGGUGAAAGCAGGGGAUCUUCGGACCUUGCGCGAUUGAAUGAGCCGAUGUCGGAUUAGCUAGUAGGCGGGGUAACGGCCAACCAAGGCGACGAUCCGUAGCUGGUCUGAGAGGAUGAUCAGCGACACUGGAACUGAGACACGGUCCAGACUCCGACGGGAGGCAGCAGUGGGGAAUAUUGGACAAUGGGCGCAAGCCUGAUCCAGCCAUACCGCGUGGGUGAAGAAGGCCUUCGGGUUGUAAAGCCCUUUUGUUGGGAAAGAAAAGCAGCAGGUUAAUACCCCGCUGUUCUGACGGUACCCAAAGAAUAAGCACCGGCUAACUUCGU
Molecule: ribosomal RNA, 491 nt
Filed under: uncultured bacterium
Lineage: Bacteria
Description: partial 16S ribosomal RNA
Rfam family: Bacterial small subunit ribosomal RNA
Source: RNAcentral